GUACUUGAUCCCUGACUUUCAGUAUAUAAGUCGGCAUUCAAUAAGCUUGAAUCCACAGACCUACGGAGACUCGUAGCAAUUGGUACCAACCAAUCGCAGUACAGGUGAAUCUAACACUAAGCGUGUCUUUGGAAUGAAGCUGCUGGUGGCUGUUGCCAUGGUGAUAGGUGCUCUCAUAAUGGCACCAACUGAUGCCCUCGCCGGUGCAGGAGGUGUAGGGGGAAAUGAUGGCAUCGGCGGUGUUGGCAAAAAAUGAAUUGAUGAGUAUUCCAUGCCUCGCUAUUCCGCGGUUUCGCCCUAUAAAAACCGUAAUAAAACAAAAUAAACAAAUUAAGAAGUA
Rhipicephalus microplus (southern cattle tick) is the source of this 340-nucleotide long non-coding RNA. RefSeq lists it as uncharacterized. The record is from RefSeq and is a predicted model, not a curated record. Lineage: Eukaryota; Metazoa; Arthropoda; Arachnida; Ixodida; Ixodidae.